RNAcentral lists this long non-coding RNA (10733 nucleotides) under Capsicum annuum. Its description in RNAcentral is "long non-coding RNA (CANN_LNC014742)". Lineage: Eukaryota; Viridiplantae; Streptophyta; Magnoliopsida; Solanales; Solanaceae. The record is from RNAcentral.
AAAACAAUACUGAUAAAAUUUACAAUCUGAUAAAACUAAAGAGAGAACUGAAAUUACAUGACUGACUCUGAUUGACAUCUAUGAAGCCUCUAUUAUACUGACUAUAGAUAGCUGGAACAUGAAUCCAGCUACCACUAAUCAAUACAUAUGAGUAAUAAAGUAAAGUACAUGAAUAACAUCUGAAUGAAGUCCCCAAAAUAGGAGAGCUCAUCACCUGUUAGCUGGAACUGCAACUGUCUGAUCAUGGUGUGUGGACUAUAACGGGUACCUACAUUAUGAAACAAUAUAUCCACACAAAUAUAUAUGUGGAUCAAUACUUUUGAAACGUACUUAGUAAGCGGGGGUGAAUGCAAUAAGUAAAAACUGAUUUAUACGUAAUCUUAGAACAUGUAUGCUAAGUAUAAGUAGACUCACUAAGAGAUUGAAAUAAAUUGAAAGCUGAAAUAUCUUAAAACAUGAGCAACAAACAUAAUCUGAUAAGCUGGUGAAUCACUACACUUAGUUUCUUAGAACUUUACUUUUAUAAUAUAAGUAGAAUUUAAGCUGGAAGACAGUAAAACAUGGGUACUAUGUGAAUACUGGGUCUGAAACUACGAAGUGGAAAUCCACAUAACUCAAGGAUCUCAAUACACAAAUAUACUGAGCAUGAAUGCAUGAAAACUAUGAUAUCCGAGAAUGCAAGACUAAGUGUAUAUCUGUUAUGUCACUGAGAUCAAUCCAAAAUCUAAAAGACUGAAAGAUAUAAAAUCUGAGAAUGCAUGACCAAACAUAUAACAUGAUUCUAAAAUAGUCUGUAAAAUGAAAUACUAAAAUUUGGUAGCUGAAUGACUGAUGAACUGUAUGCUAUGGUCAAACCUGAACUGAAUUCUAUAAUGAAUACUGAACUGAGACUAUGGGAGGUAUCAUCUAACCAAUAUGCCUCACUUUGAGUUAAGUGGUGUCCAACCUAUAACCCAGUUGGCAGGGUGUCAGCACCGUACCACGGGUACUAACAAUAGAUGUGUGGAUCCACUAAACUAAUGUCCUGAUGGACUAAUGAGUCACUGUCAUCUGGAAGGUGCUCUAAUGAGAUACGUGUUACCCUCAACUGACAGGUAAACACUUUAUCAACCCUCAUCUGGAAGGUUGAUAUCUCUAAUCUACGAUAGCUACAUAGUGCUAGAACUCAGGAACUGCUAUGAAAGGUCACACCCUCUACUGCCAUGUGAGCUCCCAUCCCUGAAUUCGUUGGGAGCUAAAUCCUACUCCCAAUUGAAUGAAACUGAUUACUGAACUGAACUAAGCUUAACUGAGCAAACUAUUGAUCAUGAUAACUAAUGUCCUUAACAUCAAGUAAAACUGGAACUUUCAUUAUAAAGGAGAUAAUCUGAAUAUGGGAAUAAAAUCAUGAUUCUGUCUAACUUGUUACUUGAAAAAGAAAAUCAUAUAAAACACAUAGGUAUCGGGUGCUCAUAACCCACCCGCACUGAAUGAGUACAAAAUACGAUAUCAAUCUUGAAACACUAAAAUAAGUGAUUAUGGUUCAAAGAUCCUAACAUGGGCAAUUCAUCAAACACAAAGGGAUCAUGAACUUGAACAUGGGAAUAUGAUGUACAUAUGAAUACAACAUGGGUGCAUGACUAAUUUCAUAAGUUGGGAAUUUAACACGAAAUCAAUGGGAUAGGACACAGAAACAUGCAACUCAAAGAAUAGAUAGAUUAAUUCACUUGGAAACACUUGUAGAUAUGGGAAAGUUCAUAACUCAAUAUUAUAACAUGAAAUUCAAUUGGAUACGUCAUGGGAAUCGAAACUUAAAGCAUGAGAUAACCUAACUUUUCAUAAAAACAUCCUUGGACAUGAAUUUAGUCAAAUUACAAAGGAAAUCCUGAUUUAAAUUCAUCUUGAACACAUGAUACUUUAUAAACAAAAGGAAAAGUUCAUAUCUUUAAUUAAAGAAAAGUUUUUUGGGCUCCAUGGGUGAAAGAGGACCCAUGGAUGAACUCCCACAUACCUUAAGCCCUUAUCUUUGGAAGGAAUCAUCAUUCCUGAAGCUUUCUUGAAGGUUCUUGAACUUGGAAAACUUGAAUUGUUGGUUUCUUUAGAGAGAAAGUAAUGAAAUUGAUGUUCUUGGGAGAUGAUUAGGGUUUCUCUGAGAGGAGAAUUGGAGAAGAAGGACAAUUAUAACCUAAAAUAUACCUCAAAUCGUGUUAUGGAUGACGAGGUUGAGGGGAAAAGACACAAUUUCUCCUUAGGCAAUUAAAUUCGUAGUUGGAAUAUGGUUAACAGGGUCACCGCAAUGCGGUCUUAUCGCAAUGACUUACUGGUUUUGACGAAAUUGAUCAUAAUUUUUCGCUCGAGUAUUGGAUUAAGGCAAAAUUGGUAUUGUUGGACAGAUAAUUCAAUUAUAUACAAUUUAGUGAGUAUUGAGCUGAAAAAAUCCACGUAUAUAAAAAGUUAUACACAUUCAAAGUUGACUCUUAUAAAAUCAAAUACCAAACUUUGGACAAAUCAAAGGCUCUUAGCUUAACUCUGUUCUAUGUGAUUCCUAUGAACAUUCUUUACCUCAUAAGAACUUCACACACUAGGAUAAAGAUCAUGACACAUGCAUUCAAUUAUAAAUCAAGAACUGGCGAAAAAUACCUUUACCACGAUGCGAUGUACGUGCCAAAUAAAAUAUCACCGUGACGCAACCCUAUCGCGGUGACUUGCUGAAUUCGUGAUCCAAACGUGUCCCAAACCUUGUCCGAAAAAUUAAAAACUCCCCCAAGACAUACUUCUUAAAUCCUUGAACAUGAAUUAACUCAAAAACUAAUGUCUCGGGGUCGGAAAGACCAAAAUGAAAAUCAUCAAUGUUUAGGAGUCUUGAAAAUGAAUAAGUCCCCAACACUUCGUGAAAAUUUCAAGACAUAAGCCCCUUAAGCAUGCAACUAAGAGAUGAAUCAAGCUAGGAUAAGUAUUCUAGUAGCUUUAAAUGUAAAAACAGAGAGGCUAUAGUAUUUUUGGUAUAAAUAAGGGAAUGGAGAGAAGUGAAUAUCUGUUUUACUAUCACCUGUGAUGAAGUGACAUAUACAAUAUAUAAAAAUACACAUAAGCAACAACAUAUGGGAACACAUUAGUUUUGAUUGAUAUAAUAUUAGUGUUGGGUACUAUAUAGUUUUGAUGAUUGACAAACUGACACAUGAAUGUAACAUAUUACUUGAGUUGGUCCAUGCAUAGGAAAGCAGGUUUUCAGUUUAACUGAUAGAUGCAGACAAAAUUGCUUAAAGACAAGAACGAAUAAGAAAGCCUAAUUCUAAUAUACUCAAGCUACUGAUCAUGUGGGGAAUAUAACAAGUUGAAUUUGAUUCAAACACUUAAUGAUAAGGUAAAGCAAUUUGAGUUGAAAAAGGAGUCCUACGUGAAGAAGGAGUUUCACUUCUGAGUCUAUCUUGAAGAGUCCUAUGUGUGGGAGGAGAAAGAUCCUGAUAAAUAAGCAUAUGGUGAUUUAAAAAAUUUGGAGUUUUACUACAACACUAAGGAGACAGGAGUUGGAAUAAAAGAAAGAGUCUCACUUGAAGUAGAACUCUAUGUAAUGAGAGUUUUGAUUAAAGGAGGAGUUUAAAAUAAAGAAUGACUUUUUGGAGAGCUGUGCUUAAAUAGAAGAUGCAUCAUUCAGAGUAAUUCACACACUUACAAAAAAAGUAAAAAAGCACAAUCGAUAGAUUGACUUCACGAAGUGCUACUUUAUCACUGAAGAAACAUAUUACAGAACCUGGUCCUAAGUAUAGAAUUCAUCUAAGAGUUUUAGAUUUGAUUUAAAGAGUUGCUCAUUGUGUUUGAGCUAUUAAUGUAAUAUUAGUUUUAGUGUGUUAUAAACUGAAUUAGGAGAUAGUCUUCGAGUUGGGGAAAACUCAAAGACUUUGGAAACGCAUACCUUGGGAGGUGUGUGUGUAUUUAGGAAUUAGAGUUUAUAAUUCCUAGUUGUUGAGUUAAAGGAAUUAGAGUUUAUAAUUCCGAGUUGUUGAGUUAUAGGGAUUAGAGUUUAUAAUUCCUAUUUGUUAGUUACAAGAGUUUUGUAAUCAGUCGUUGUUGAGGCUCAGAGUUAUUUAGUGAAGUUGGGGUUAAAUCAUGUAGAGGUGCAUGUCGUGGUUUUUUACACCUUUUGACCCGGGCGUCUUCCACGUAAAAAUCAUUGUGUUCUAUACUUUCUGUUUUACUACUUCUUUGGAACAUGUAUGUGGAAUACGUAAGGCAACCCGUUCCAUCGAUAAGCAAGAGUUAGGCGAAAAUAAGAUAAUCAGUAGGGCACAAACUCUAACAAGUGGUAUCAGAGAGAGGUUGUCUUAAAAAGGGCUAGCACCUAAGACAAAGAUCAAUAUGAUGAAUUCCGCACCACCUACUGGUCACAGUGAAGGUUAAUCCACUAUUAGACCUCCACUCUUUGAUGGUUCUCACUUCAUUUGGUUGAAAGCUUGGAUGGAAACAUUCAUUCAAGGGAAAUACUACGAGUUAUGGGAUAGGAUCACUGAUGGUCCUACUAUUCCAAUGAAGUUAGAAUAUGUGAAAUAGGUCAAGAAAGUAAGAAGUGAAUUCACUCUUGAUGACUUAUUGGCAUUAAAGAAAAAUGCUAAGGCCAAAAAUAUUUUGGUCUGUGGAUUAGGACCUGCUAAAUACAACAGGGUAUCAAUAUACACCACUGCUAAGCAAAUUUGGGAUGCUCUAGUAAAUGCUCAUGAAGGCAGAUCUCAAGUAAGAAAAUUUAGAAUUUCUCUUCUCUUCACUGAGUAUGAGGCAUUUAAGAUGAAGGAGAAUGAAACCUUGUAUGAGAUGAUGACAAGGCUUACUACCUUAACAAAUGAGCUGACCUCCUUAGGAAAAGCUAUAUCUGAAGAAGAACAAGUCGAAAAGGUACUGAGGGUAUUACCAAAAUCAAAGUGGAAUGUUAAGGUAACUGCAAUCAGGGAAGCAAAUAUGGAUCUUAUAGGCAUGACCCUAGAUGAAUUAGUGGGGAAUUUAAGAACUUAUGAAAUAGAAAUUGAUGGAACUAAAGUGCUAUAAUCCCCAGAGAAUACCUUAGCUCUGAAGGCAUCUUACAGUGAUGAAGAAAUUAAACUUGAUAAAGAAUAAGUUGCCUUUAUAGCUAAGAACUUCAGCAAAUUCUUCAAAAAGAAGAAGGGAAUAGGUAGCAAGAAAUGGUUAAAUGAAAAUCUAAAUGGAUGCUACAAGUGUGAUAAGACUGAUCAUUAUAUCAUGGAUUGUCCUGUCUGGGAAAUAGAAUGGAGAAAGAAAAAGAAUGAAAAGGAACUGAAAGAAAAAAAAAGAGGGAAGAAUAUGCAAUGGUAGAAGCUUGGGGAUUUGACUUAGAUGAUGAUGAAGUUGAUGAAGUAGCACUCAUGGCUCUUGGAGAUUCAGACUUGGAGGAAGAAGAUGAUGCUUCUAAGGUAAGUAUACUUGAACUUAAAGAAAAGUUGCAUUUAUUUUCUAAAAUAAAACUUAUUUCCUUGAUGAGUGCACUAAUUGAUGACUUCCAAGAAUUAAUUUCUGUUAGAGAUGAGCUGUUCAAUAUUCUUGCAAGAAUCAAAUUUGAUUUUAUUGAUGUAGAAGCUUGCAAGAACAUUGUUGAACAGGAAAACUGCUCUCUCAAGAAAUAGGUUGAGCAACUUGAUUCUUUAAAUAAUGAUCUUAAGUUUGAAGUUCUAAAAUUGACACUCUCUGAAAAAUGAAAAAACACCAAGAGUAAACAACAAGAAAAAGUUGAACUUAAAUUGGUAUGCAAUAAUGCAACAGAAUGGUGAAUAAACUGAGUCAAGAAGUCUCUAAACUAAAACUUGACCUUGAAAGAGCAAACAGGUGGACAAAUUCCUGAAGAAUUAUUCAUAAGUUGAGUGAAAGAUAUCACAGUGAAAAAGCUGGUUUGGGUUUUCACAAAAGUCUUGAUGUUUAUCAAGACAUGCUAUAUCUGUGGAAACCUUGGACAUCUAACCAGUAAAUGUCCAGUUGCUGCCAAAAGCAGAUCCAACAGCCUAAAUCUGGCAAAUAAACUAUUUCAGACCAAGAAAAGGAUAACUAAACCUGGUCAGAGAAACAUGUCACGUAACCUGUUGCCUGCAUGGGCUAGAAGAAAUUUGAUUCAUUCAUUUACUCAUAAGAAAGGAACCAAGCUUAUCUGGGUGCCUAAAGUUAACCCCUAAUUUAUCUUGCAGGUGAGAGUGAAAGGAUGCAAGCAAAAUUUGUACAUAAAUAAAGUUUGCUCAAGGCAUAAGACUAGAAGAAAAUAAAGUUUCUUUCACUCACCACAUUUAAAGAGGGAAUGGAUUAUUUGAAAGAUGGCCAGAUUUGUAGUGCUCAUGUAAGGAGGAAGCAAGGGAGAUUUUAAAAAAAAUGAAAAAGAGGAUGACUGUGAAACUGAUGAGCAUGCACAGGAACAUGUUGUUCCACUUGGUUCAACUAUUGUACAGACUGAGGGCAUAUUAACGGAGAAACAACAAAUCAAGAGAUUUAUGCAUCAAUAACACUAACACAAGCUGAUGAUAAUUUUGUUGGUAAUUUAUAAGAAUUGGUGUUGUCACAAGAAUGUUGAGAUAUCUCAUGGGAAUCAAUGGCUUGAGACUUUGGUAUUCAAAUGAAAGUAAUUUCACUCUUGAGGGCUGUAAAAUUAUUGACUAUGUGGGUUACUUAAUUGACUGGAGAAGCACCAAAGGCACUAAGUAGAGAACAGUUUGAAAGGAAUAGAUUAGACUUGGGGAUGAUUAAAAUUGCAUGAACUCCCCUCAAUGAUUGACUAGAAUAAUCAUUUUUCUUCUUAAUCUUAUUAGCUCAAAAGUUAUUCUAUUCAGUCUUGCACAUUUAGUUGUGUGUCCCAAUUCUUGAUUUUUGACUUUUCUAACCUCAUUUUGUAUUAGAUUGUGCAGAAAAAUAGGUAAAAGCAAGCAAUUAUGACUACAAAGUUCUUCUUAUCAGGUAUGUUCUACACUGACAUAAGCAUAGGCUAUCCAAGUUGAAACAGUUGAGCACAUCUGUCCAAUUCCACACACUUCAUCCUCUCAUUGUCUAAUAAAUCUAAUGAAUUGGUUGACCAAAAUUUGUUUGAUUCUCUCCAAAUGGGUGUGUACAAAUGUGUUAAUCUUAUAACAAAAAUUCCUUCUUCUUUCUCAACUAAAAUAUCAGUUGUUUACUAUGGAUUUUCUAAGCUAGAUCAUCAAUCACAUGAAACAUAUGUUUCUAAAGAAUGAAAAGGGAUAUUAUUUCCCUUUUAGUUCCUAAUUGGUUAUUUUUUUUAGGAAUUUUCAGUCCUAAAUUAGGUUUGAAUUAUAAAAAAAUAGAUGUUCUUGAACAGAUGAAAUAUGUUGCUCUACCUAUUUCAAUAAGGAGGGCUAACACUUAUUUGAAAUAAAAAAUCUGAACUAGAAGCUGUACAAGACAGUCAUGAAGUGGAAUAAGAGGUCCUUAAGGAUAGGAUCAUGACCUUGAAGCUUGACCUUGAUUGAUAGAGGGAUGAAAAUGUUGAAGUCAUUCAUCAAUUGACACAGUUGAUAUCACCUGUUCCACCUUCCUCAUCAGCUCCUCACUAUUUAUAUCCUUAGCCGUGUCCCAUUUUUAUACCAUAUUUUUUAAUGCUCAAUUAUUUUGCUCUGUUUAAUACUAGCUUAGGUUUAAUGUGGAACAUGCUCUGUCUGUUAAAUGAAAUGGUUAUCUUUGCUAAAUUGACUCAUUUUUGCUCUCUUUAAUACAUUACUAUGUUGGCUAGAGUCUUUGCCUGAUUGUUUUGGUGAUAGCCCCAGUGGUCAUGAAUAGCAUAACAAAUCACUUUGGCUAGUAUAUUAUUUUAUUGAAAUAGUUUUUCGAUGAUGCCAAAAGGGGAAAGAUAAUAGGAUUGUGCAAUGUUUAUAACCCAUUACUAACUUGUUUCAUUUUAGUGUUUUAUACUUUAGUGCCUACAGGUGAAAAUGGUUAAAUGCACAAGAAAGGAGGUUUGUCAUCAUCAAAAAGGGGGAAUUUGUUGGGUACUAUAUAGUUUUGAUGAUUAAGAAACUGACACAUCAAUGAAACAUGUUACUUGAGUUGGUCUACAAAUAGGAAAGCAGAUUUCCAGUUUCACUGAUAGAUGCAAAUAAGAUUGCUUAAAAAUAAGAACGAAUAAGAAAUGCUAAUUCUGAUAUACUGAAGCUACUGAUCAUGUGGGGAAUAUAACAAGUUGAAUUUGAUUCAAACACUUAAUGAUAAGGGAAAACAAUUUGAGUUGAAAAAGGAGUCCUACGUGAAGAAGGAGUUUCACUUCUGAGUAUAUCUUGAAGAGUCCUAUGUGUGGGAGGAGAAAGAUUCUGAUAAAUAAGUAUGUGCUAAUUCAAAAGAGUUGGAGUUUUACUACAACACUAAGGAGACAAGAGUUGGAAUUAAAGAAAGACUUACUUGAAGUAGAACUCUAUGUAAUGAGAGUUUUGAUUAAAGGAGGAAUUUAAAAUAAAGAAUGACUCUUUGGAGAGCUGUGCUCAAAUAGAAGAUGCAUAAUUCAUAGUAAUUCACACAUUUACAAAAAAAGCAAAAAGCACAAUCGAUAGAUUGACUUCACGAAGUGCUACUCAAUCACUGAAGAAACACAUUGAAGAACCUGGUCCUAAGUAUAUAAUUCAGCUAAGAGUUUUAGCUUUGAUUUUUAGAGUUGUUCAUUGUAUUUGAGCUAUUGAUGUAAUAUUAGUUUUAGCGUGUUGUAAACUGAAUUAGGAGAUAGUCUUUGAGUUGGGAAAAACUCAAAGACUUUGCGAAAGCAUACCUUGGGAGGUGUCUGUGUAGUUAGGAAUUAGAGUUUAUAAUUCCUAGUUGAGUCAAAGGAAUUAGAGAUUAUAAUUCCUAGUUGUUGAGUUAUAGGGAUUAGAGUUUAUAAUUCCUACUUGUUGGUUACAAGAGUUGUGUAAUCACUCGUUGUUGAGGCUUAGAGUUAUUUAGUGAAGUUGAGGUUAAAUCCUGUAGAGGUGCAGGUCAUGAUUUUUUACACCUUUUGACCCGGGUGUUUUCCACGUUAAAAUCAUUGUGUUCUUUACUUUCUGUACUACUUCCUUGGAACACGUAUGUGGAAUACGUAAGGCAACCCAUUCCAUCGAUAAGCAAGAGUUAGGCGAAAAUAAGAUAAUCAGUAGGGCACGAACUCAAUAGUUAGUUGAGAAAAUACUAAUAGGAGUAGUAGAUUAUAAGAGAAGGAAGAGGGACGCUGGACCCUUUUGAUGUUAGCAGGCUGGGUUGGAUGUGAACACAUACGAAUAGCUAUUAGUCGCUCCUCUGAAUUGGACCAAGAUGGAGUCAAAUCAUGACUCCAAAUGCGCUCUCGAGUGCACAUGUAAAAAUAGAGCAAGGAAAAAUAAAGAUUAGCAUGAAACUUCAAGUUUUAGCAUGUUAUUAAAGUGUAAAGAAAAGACAAUAAUCGUGUGAAUAACAUUACGGUCCUAAAAGUAAUCUAGAACUUUGAGACACAAUAUAAAUUUAAGUCCACAAUCACAAAGUCGUUAGGCCCUUCAAAUCAAGUUAGUUGUCCAAGACCUUUUCACAAAAUGAAAACAAUCAUUGACGUCCAACUACUUAUUGCAAGCUUGAGCUGUUAUAAAAUUAAGGGUAAAACAAACUAUAAGAAGGUAGUUUACUUAUUAAAGUAAGAAAAUUACAAGCCAUAUAUACUUUCAGAUUGAUAAAAAGUCAAAUUAUAGAAUUUAAGAACACUCUCAUAUGACUUCAUUUGUUGAGGAAACACAAAGUAUGUUCUUUAACAGAAAAAAAGGGGUGAAGCUAAUGGUUUCAUUCUGAGAUCACCUUAAUCAAGCUUCCAACGUGAAUUUUACACAAAGCUUGAUGCAAUAUUUCUUUAUUUUUUUUAAAAUCUUUAAUGAAAAUGUGUAAAACAUCCACAAGUACGGGUUCGUACUUUAGACGGAGGGAGACUAGAUAACAUAGAGAUAUUAAAAAUACGAAUCAAAUUACCAGAGGCCAAGCUGUGACAUCUUCGAGCCAAUAUUACGUUAAAGAAUACUCAUAUUUUCACAUGAAUAUCAAACAGAUAAGAGAGGGAAAUAAACAGCCUAUUUGAAGUACGAACCAAUCGAGAUGAAGAAAUGAUGAACAAAGAAAAUAAGGAGAGAUUCAGACCUUGUGCUGUGCAGCAAAACUGAGGCUUUCUGUCGAGAAUUCUCUGGCUACCAAAUUCAAACUCGGGAACUCAAAAUUCGGACCGAAAUUGAGGAUUAAACAAAGUGAUUUUCACCAUAUUUUGUUGCGAGGUUUUCAAACAUUAGACUAUUUUUUUUUUCAUUUUUUCCUUACCAAAGAUAACAGCCUCCUCUCAAGAGUGAAAAAAAUAUGACUAUUUAUAGGAAAUCCAGACUUGAAAGUCCGAAUUUUAUAUCAAAAAUCAAAGAGGCCAACGAGCAAAUAAAGGGAAGGAAAUUGAAAUUUCAAAAAUUAAAAGACACAAAUCCCUCCUCAAAUUUGGACGACUCUCGAGCCUUUAAUGUGAAUUUUACAUUGUAUCACCAUUUUAGGUCUGAAUUUAUUGUUAACGGCGAAAUCACGGGUUAGGGGAGAUGAAAUUUGGAUGAAUCUUCACAGGGGUACGACAGAGGUGACAUAACUAUGGAGGUUUAGGGUUUCUUGUUUGGUGAUUGUAGUGGAGAGGGAGAAGGAGAGCAGAAGAAGGAAGGGGCAGUUGUUGUUGCCCUUUUUGGUAAGAAAGAUGAGAUGUGUACGUGUGAUUUGUGUAGUGGAAAGAGUAAUCACUCGUACUGUGCUUUAAG